RNAcentral lists this non-coding RNA (38 nucleotides) under Haloferax volcanii. Lineage: Archaea; Methanobacteriati; Methanobacteriota; Halobacteria; Halobacteriales; Haloferacaceae. The record is from RNAcentral. RNAcentral also lists the same sequence under 1 other name.
GGGUGACUCCAGAGGUCGAGAGACCGGAGAUAUCACCC